GCCUUAGGAGACAUGGAGUGUGGAAUCGUGACUGACGGCUCAAAACAUGGACAAAAUAUUCCCAGCUGUUGCAUUAAGAAUCAGCAGGAGCUGGAAAUUUUCAGGUUCUAAAAAAUUCCAACAGUGCGUGGCUGAGAGAGGCCUUGCUAACGAGGACUCUUUAAACCACAUGGACAUGAUCAGGGUGAAGAUGAAAAGUUCCAGGAAUUAACCAACAUUAUUGAUCAACUUCCUCUGAACUGCUGUUAAGAAGUCAAAUUAACCUCCAUAUGUGAGACCUACUACCAAAUCUUGCAGAAAACCUGGAGCACAAAGGAAGGUUUUAGUCCCUCAUCUCCCAGCUAAUGACCACAGCAUACCAGUAAAACCAUUUCCUUGUUUGGCGGCAUGACACAUCAAGCUGGGUUCCUGCUCACCCCAACUAGACCACACCCAACAUAUUUAUUAGACAGCUUUAAUUCUAAGUCUAUAAAUAACAAAUAACGUCACUGGGAUAAGUUGGCAAACACUGGAUGUUUACAUGACUGCAGAAACUCCACCUGUCUUCAGUCGGCGUUAAAAACCAAAAUUAAAGAGUAAACACGUGAGG
Molecule: long non-coding RNA, 589 nt
Organism: Gambusia affinis (western mosquitofish)
Lineage: Eukaryota; Metazoa; Chordata; Actinopteri; Cyprinodontiformes; Poeciliidae
Exons: 3
Source: RefSeq, a predicted model, not a curated record